AAGAUUACUAAAAAGAACUUCUAAUUCUUUAAUAAUGUUUACAUUUAAUCUUU
RNAcentral lists this transfer RNA (53 nucleotides) under Neoseiulus womersleyi. RNAcentral describes it as "tRNA-Ser". Lineage: Eukaryota; Metazoa; Arthropoda; Arachnida; Mesostigmata; Phytoseiidae. The record is from RNAcentral.